Non-coding RNA from Parasteatoda tepidariorum (common house spider), 149 nucleotides. Lineage: Eukaryota; Metazoa; Arthropoda; Arachnida; Araneae; Theridiidae. The record is from RefSeq and is a predicted model, not a curated record.
CGUAAAUUUCUUUCUUUUGUAUGUCAGGACAGAAAUGCUGUUGUGAAUGCAAAAAAUCUUUGGCCAGGAGGAAUAAUUCCAUACGUUCUGGAUCCUGGAGUGGACAAAAUCAUGAAAUUUCUUCUUACGAGGGCCUUUAAUCACUACAA